CAGCUGGGAGGACCUCCCCACCAUGGGGGACCCAGAGGAGGAUCUCAGGGCUUCCACCUGUUCCAGGAAUGCUACCCCGGACAUCCCACACAGAGGGUAGCCCAUUCCCCUUGCACCAGCAGGUUUAUUUACAACUCUUUGGAUCUUAAAGAUGCCCGGUACAGAACCCUGCGGGCUGCAGCUCCCAUCCGUCCUCCUACUGACAGAGACUUCAAACGCAAGGCUGUCAUUUCGGUAACUCGCCUUCCCGUUUGCUCAUUCAUUACCAAGGCAGACGUGUGUUUUCACACUUGAGAGUCCACUGUCACCUCUCCUAACACCAAGAGG
Long non-coding RNA from Ochotona princeps (American pika), 327 nucleotides. RefSeq lists it as uncharacterized. The transcript has 3 exons. NCBI's taxonomy places the organism in Eukaryota, Metazoa, Chordata, Mammalia, Lagomorpha, Ochotonidae. The record is from RefSeq and is a predicted model, not a curated record.